GUACACGCUGUGACUAGCAUAUCAAUAAGCGGAGGAAAAGAAACUAACUAGGAUUCCCUCAGUAACGGCGAGUGAAGCGGGAAGAGCUCAAAUUUGAAAUCUUCAAGGUUUUACCUUGACGAAUUGUAGUUUAAAGAAGUGUUUUCUGUUGAAGUUUUGGUAAAAGUUCUUUGGAAUAGGACAUCAUAGAGGGUGAGAAUCCCGUAUUUGACCAUUAUUUCCAGCUUUGUGAUACACUUUCAAAGAAUCGGAUUGUUUGGGAAUGCAGUCCAAAAUGGGUGGUAAAUUUCAUCUAAAGCUAAAUAUUGGCGAGAGACCGAUAGCGAACAAGUACCGUGAGGGAAAGAUGAAAAGAACUUUGAAAAGAGAGUUAAACAGUACGUGAAAUUGUCAAAAGGGAAGCGUUUGACACCAGUGUUGUUUUCUCGAAAAUCAAUUAAAAAAGGCAGGAUUUUGUGUUGUAUUGACUUUAUCAGCUUUCUGCACUCUUUUCUUGUCUUUUUUAAUGCACUUUUCGUUUAACAAGUCAACAUCAAUUUCUUUUGUUGUAAAAGGGUCAUUGGAAGGUGGCUUUCCUUUCGGAGAAAGUGUUUAUAGCCUUUGGCCUCUGCAAUCGGAGAGAUUGAGGUCUGCAGCGUAGAUCCUUCGGGGUUAGAUACAUUUGUGCUAAGUUAUAGCCUUUCAUAGACAACUUGUUGACUAUGAUCAGUCAUGUAGCUUACUCGCUUAUGCUAGUUUUACCUACGCUUAGGAUGUUGAAGACUCUACAGAGAU
Molecule: ribosomal RNA, 774 nt
Filed under: uncultured Neocallimastigales
Lineage: Eukaryota; Fungi; Neocallimastigomycota; Neocallimastigomycetes; Neocallimastigales
Description: partial large subunit ribosomal RNA
Rfam family: Eukaryotic large subunit ribosomal RNA
Source: RNAcentral